RNAcentral lists this ribosomal RNA (542 nucleotides) under uncultured low G+C Gram-positive bacterium. Its description in RNAcentral is "bacterial SSU rRNA". It matches the Rfam family "Bacterial small subunit ribosomal RNA", at positions 1 to 510 of the family's 1533-position model. Lineage: Bacteria; Bacillati; Bacillota. The record is from RNAcentral.
GCCCUUAGAGUUUGAUCAUGGCUCAGAGACGAACGCUGGCGGCGCGCUUAACACAUGCGAGUUGAACGCUCCGCCCUCUUCUGCCCUUCGGGGCAGAGAGGAUCACGGAGAGUAGCGGACGGGUGAGUAACGCGUAGGUAACCUGCCCUGAAGAGGAGAAUAACCCUGCGAAAGCGGGGCUAAUACUCCAUAUGUUAGGGGGUCGAUAAGAUCCCUUAAUGAAAGGCGGCAUUAAGCCGUCACUUCGGGAUGGGCCUGCGUCGGAUUAGCUAGCUGGUAGGGUAAAGGCCUACCAGGGCGACAAUCCGUAGCUGGUCUGAGAGGACGAUCAGCCACACUGGGACUGAGACACGGCCCAGACUCCUACGGGAGGCAGCAGUGGGGAAUCUUCCGCAAUGGGCGCAAGCCUGACGGAGCGACGCCGCGUGGGUGAAGAAGGCCUUCGGGUCGUAAAGCCCUGUCAGUGGGGAAGAAAGCAGGCAUCAAGAAAAGGGUGUCUGUUGACGGUACCCGCAAAGGAAGCCCUGGCCAACUACGUGCCA